UCCUCUCUGUAAAAUGUUCCAGAAAUUACAAAUGGAAAUCCAUAUGGGUAUAUAAGAACUGGUUUCUGCCUGUUUUAAGGAUCUUAAUGUUAACGAACAGCUGAAACACUCCAUUGCAACAAAAGUAAUACUUUACAUUGGAUUCUUCUCUGAAUGGUUUUUCAUUCCUGAGUGCCAUCUUUAUCCUGCUCAUUUGCUUUUCUAGGUUCUUCUUCUUCUUCUUCCUCCUCCUCCUCCUUUGUGUUUGGUUCUGGGACUUCAGCUCCUGCAGCUGCUCCAGCAUUUGGUACCAGCCAGCCACCAACAUUUGGUCAAAGCCAGGGCUCCAGCCAGCCCCCUGCUCCAACCUUUGGAUCACUUUCAUCAUCUUCAUUAUUUCCUACUGGCUCCCAGCCAGGGCCUCCAGCUUUUGGGUCUGUGUCAAGCAGCACACAGCCUCCUGUCUUUGGACAACAAGCUGCCCAACAGCCUGGUUUUGGCUCAGGUACAGCUUCUAAUUCUGGUGCAGUUUUCCAGUUUGGAAGUAGUACGGCUAAUUUCAACUGUACAGGCAACAGUCCAGGAGUAUUUACCUUUGGUGCAACUCCUGGUGCAUCAGCACAGCCGGCAGGCUCUUCAGGAUUUUCAUUCAAUCAGCCUCCAUCAUUUAAUCUGGGCAGGAAUAACGGGAAAAAUAUGUUCUCCAUGCCUGGAUCUUCUUCAGUGGCUGGUCGGAAGAUAAAGAUGGCUGUUAGACGUAGAAAAUAAAAUAUUAAUGAUUGUUACAGACAGAAAAUCUCUUACCACAGCUGGUUGCCCUGCAUUGUUCAGUUAUUGAAUUGUACCUCAUGCUGGGUUUAGCUGAAGCCAGAUCUGCCUAAAUUCUGCUUGCUUUUUUUCCUCCCCAUUUAGGGUUUUUUUGUUUUGUUUUGUUUUUUUAAUAAUUAGAGUUGGUGGCAGGGAGGAUCUUGAGCAAAACUGUUUUAGACUCCAUCGUUUUUUCUUCACUGACUUGGCAUGGUCUGGCUAUAGAUAUAAAUAUAGCCUGCACUGCGAAUGGCUUCGUAUAAUACCUCUGUUUGCACCACUUUGUGCGCUCAUCUGCGUUUACUGACACCUCGAAAUUGUAAUUAUAUCAGAAAGGGGGAGUCUGUAUAGAGUAGAGAAUGUGGAUAAUGAAUGAUUUCUUUGCAGAGUUUGUGCUGAUGUACGUGUGAAGUGAGCAAGUUGCGUGUAUUGUGCACUAAAAUUUUCUGAUAGAGGAAGAAUGAUCAAAGAAUGGUCCAUGCUAAGGACUAGUUAGAUCAGUAGUACUUCAUUCAAUAAUUAGAUGCUCUUUCUAUUCUCAUUCUUAUGGCUCUUUAUCACCUGUCUCGCCUUUUCAUUAUUUUAUUAUGAAACAAAAUGUGUAAAUACAAUUCUGUUUCUCUACAUACUUUGGCAUAACAAAUCUGUGAACUUGAAAUUUUAAUUUUGUGUGUUACAGCAAAUUUUUGUUUUAGUAUUGUCUCAGAUUUUAUUAUGUAAAUCUCAUUAUUCAAAGUUGCCUAAAUCCAUUAAAGACCUUUAAAAUUGGGAAUUCUUAAAAUGAGUUUAUUGGCUUUUCUGAUCCAUUUUUGUUUGGACCAAAAACCAGUAUUGUACAAAGUGUUAAGUAUAUAUUUUUAUAUUUACAGAAAUGGACUCUGGUGACUUUGGAUAAUAAGGAAAAGUUUAAUAUUAAAGCCAUGUUUAUUACAGUAUAAUUAACAUGUUAAACCAUGGGAUAAAUGCCAUCAAUAAAAAUUAUCAAAUACA
Molecule: long non-coding RNA, 1776 nt
Organism: Sceloporus undulatus (fence lizard)
Lineage: Eukaryota; Metazoa; Chordata; Lepidosauria; Squamata; Phrynosomatidae
Exons: 3
Source: RefSeq, a predicted model, not a curated record